AACUUUCGGCAAUGGAUCACUUGGUUCCGGCAUCGAUGAAGAACGCAGCGAAAUGCGAUACGUAAUGUGAAUUGCAGAAUUCAGUGAAUCAUCGAGUCUUUGAACGCACAUUGCGCCCUCUGGUAUUCCGGAGGGCAUGCCUGUCCGAGCGUCAUUGCUGCCCUCAAGCACGGCUUGUGUGUUGGGCUCCGUCCCCCGAUCCCGGGGGACGGGCCCGAAAGGCAGCGGCGGCACCGCGUCCGGUCCUCGAGCGUAUGGGGCUUUGUCACCCGCUCUGUAGGCGCGGCCGGCGCUUGCCGAUCAACCAAAUUUUUAUCCAGGUUGACCUCGGAUCAGGUAGGGAUACCCGCUGAACUUAAGCAUAUCAAUAAGCGGAGGCU
RNAcentral lists this unclassified non-coding RNA (380 nucleotides) under uncultured Penicillium. RNAcentral's name for it is "sequence contains ITS2". The stretch from base 1 to 154 matches the Rfam family "5.8S ribosomal RNA". The record is from RNAcentral. Lineage: Eukaryota; Fungi; Ascomycota; Eurotiomycetes; Eurotiales; Aspergillaceae.